RNAcentral lists this ribosomal RNA (484 nucleotides) under uncultured bacterium. RNAcentral's name for it is "partial 16S ribosomal RNA". It matches the Rfam family "Bacterial small subunit ribosomal RNA", at positions 29 to 523 of the family's 1533-position model. The record is from RNAcentral.
AGUGAACGCUGGCGGCGUGCUUAACACAUGCAAGUCGAACGAGAACGGAUUAUAGCUUGCUAUAAUUGUCAGCUAAGUGGCGCACGGGUGAGUAAUGUAUAGGUAAUAUGCCUCUUACUAAGGGAUAACAAAUGGAAACGUUUGCUAAUACCUUAUACUCCUUAUUAACAGAAGUUAAUAAGGGAAAGAUUUAUUGGUAAGAGAUUAGCCUGUAUUGUAUCAGUUAGUUGGUGGGGUAAUGGCUUACCAAGACUAUGACACAUAACUGGUUUGAGAGGAUGAUCAGUCAAACUGGAACUGCGACACGGUCCAGGCUCCUGCGGGAGGCAGCAGUGGGGAAUAUUGCACAAUGGACGAAAGUCUGAUGCAGCAACGCCGCGUGGAGGAUGACACAUUUCGGUGCGUAAACUCCUUUUAUAUGAGAAGAUAAUGACGGUAUUAUAUGAAUAAGCACCGGCUAACUCCGUGCCAGCCGCCGCAGUAA